UACGAAGGGGGCUAGCGUUGCUCGGAAUCACUGGGCGUAAAGGGUGCGUAGGCGGGUCUUUAAGUCAGGGGUGAAAUCCUGGAGCUCAACUCCAGAACUGCCUUUGAUACUGAGGAUCUUGAGUUCGGGAGAGGUGAGUGGAACUGCGAAGUGUAGAGGUGAAAUUCGUAGAUAUUCGCAAGAACACCAGUGGCGAAGGCGGCUCACUGG
Molecule: ribosomal RNA, 210 nt
Filed under: uncultured bacterium
Lineage: Bacteria
Description: partial 16S ribosomal RNA
Rfam family: Bacterial small subunit ribosomal RNA
Source: RNAcentral